RNAcentral lists this transfer RNA (64 nucleotides) under Anolis pseudotigrinus (False tiger anole). RNAcentral's name for it is "tRNA-Trp". The record is from RNAcentral. Lineage: Eukaryota; Metazoa; Chordata; Lepidosauria; Squamata; Anolidae.
AAACUUAGGAUAAACUUAAACCAAGGGCCUUCAAAGCCCAAAACAUGAAACCCGACCUUCAUAG